UUCCAGCUGAUGAGUUCCUAAUAGAAUGAAACGCGCGUCUUGGAU
RNAcentral lists this non-coding RNA (45 nucleotides) under Schistosoma curassoni. Lineage: Eukaryota; Metazoa; Platyhelminthes; Trematoda; Strigeidida; Schistosomatidae. The record is from RNAcentral.